AUGUAAAGUGCCAGUGUUUCCUAAACCCAAAAUUGGGAUGCACAAUCUGCCAAAAAUAAGUGUCUGUGGGGAUAGCAAGACAGGCUAUUUUAAGUUGGAACUCCCCCAGAAAAUCUGGGGUGUAAGCUUCUGACAGCCACUGCAGGGGUUCGCUCUAAUGCAUUCUGCACAACCAAUUUUAGCUUUUGUCUCUGUGCAUUUCUCACACGUCCACAGCACCUGCCAGCAGUUGUGUGUGCACGUGCUCUGUGAUAGACAGGGAGUGGGGGAUGGGAAACCGGAAGCUCCCUCACGCGCAGGAAACACAGAACAUGCGGGGGUAAACAAUGAAGGCAGAGUUCUGUAAGGAAGUUAGAGGAUCUAGUGGGGUGUCUUGAGUUCUUCCCUCCUCUGCAUUCUCCCACUGAAAUAGAUCAGAAGACAGCUUCUCAAGUCAGAUGUCUCUAUGGAAUGAAUCUUGAGAAACAAAUCCGAUUGGCUGAGACAAGACUCUGAAUCGCUUCAUCUUGAAUGGACUCACCCUGGUCCGAUUAGCUGUAACCACAAGGGUAGAUCAUACAGUACAAAUAGUGCUGUCUAUCAGUGACUGGACCUGCCAAGCCUCAGCCGCCAAAUGGGUGGCUGCGAGACCCACGUAAGGAGUGGAUGUUAGCUGUCACUGGCAUGCUUUGGAUUGGAUUUGGAUGAAGGAUUUGUUGGCACAGAUUCAUCCGUGUUCCCACACCAGGAUCCCUUCAAGACCAAAUGCAAGGUCAAGAUGGUCUGUCGUCGGCAGAGCGGAUUUGGGAAACCAACUCAUAAUCUUGGCUUCAUAAUUAAGGGCUCUAACCCAGAACUCCUCAAACUUUAAUGUACACACAAGUCACCUGAGAUCUUGUUAAAAGGCAUCACAAAAAUAAAAGGAAUUAUAACUAUGGGUGGCAACAGAUGUUAACUAGACUUAUUGUGGUGAUCAUCUGGCAAUGUAUAUAUUGAGUCAUUAUGUUGUAUACCUGAAAGUAAUAUAAUAUGUCAGUUAUAUCUGAGUUCUUUAAAAAGCAAAAAA
Acinonyx jubatus (cheetah) is the source of this 1045-nucleotide long non-coding RNA. RefSeq lists it as uncharacterized. The record is from RefSeq and is a predicted model, not a curated record. The transcript is spliced from 4 exons. NCBI's taxonomy places the organism in Eukaryota, Metazoa, Chordata, Mammalia, Carnivora, Felidae.